RNAcentral lists this transfer RNA (93 nucleotides) under Blumeria graminis f. sp. tritici. It matches the Rfam family "tRNA". Rfam says of the family: Transfer RNA (tRNA) molecules are approximately 80 nucleotides in length. RNAcentral also lists the same sequence under 1 other name. The record is from Rfam by way of RNAcentral. Lineage: Eukaryota; Fungi; Ascomycota; Leotiomycetes; Helotiales; Erysiphaceae.
GGCACUUUGGCGGAGUGGUUAACGCGAUGCCCUGCUACUCGACCAAGCUAGGCAUUUCCUUCGGGAGCGUGUGUUCGAAUCACACAGGUGUCG